AUGAACGCUGGCGGCGUGCCUAAUCCAUGCAAGUCGAGCGAACGGACGAGAAGCUUGCUUCUCUGAUGUUAGCGGCGGACGGGUGAGUAACACGUGGAUAACCUACCUAUAAGACUGGGAUAACUUCGGGAAACCGGAGCUAAUACCGGAUAAUAUUUUGAACCGCAUGGUUCAAAAGUGAAAGACGGUCUUGCUGUCACUUAUAGAUGGAUCCGCGCUGCAUUAGCUAGUUGGUAAGGUAACGGCUUACCAAGGCAACGAUGCAUAGCCGACCUGAGAGGGGGAUCGCCCACACUGGAACUGAGACACGGUCCAGACACCUACGGGAGGCAGCAGUAGGGAUCUUCCGCAAUGGGCGAAAGCCUGACGGAGCAACGCCGCGUGAGUGAUGAAGGUCUUCGGAUCGUAAAACCCUGUUAUUAGGGAAGAACAUAUGUGUAAGUAACUGUGCACAUCUUGACGGUACCUAAUCAGAAAGCCACGGCUAACUACGUG
Molecule: ribosomal RNA, 495 nt
Filed under: uncultured bacterium
Lineage: Bacteria
Description: partial 16S ribosomal RNA
Rfam family: Bacterial small subunit ribosomal RNA
Source: RNAcentral